UUAUUUUCGGAUACGAAAUAGAAAUCGUUAAUUUUCAAUUUUAAUUAAAACAUAAAUUGUGUAUAAAUUUUAUUGGUAUAAAGAUAUUAUUGGAGAUUAGGGGUAAAUUAACUAUGAUUAGAUUAUUAAGUGGGAUUAAAAUUUAAAUCACUUCAUUAAUUAAUUAAGCUUAAGGGGCCAUGUGGGCCCCUCCCGAAUAAAAAAAAAUAAAAUAAAAUAAAGGAAUCAAAAUCUGGAAAUUAACAAAACAAGGUGCAAAAGUGAGUCAUCAAAAGGGGGAAUACGUGUAGCAAUAUGGGAAAUAUAUAUAUUUAAUUGGAUGUAGUGCAAAUGACCAUUUUCAAGUCAUUUGUUGGUAGACAAAGCUCAAGAGCAAGAAAAAAAAAGUGCCAUGGCUGCUCACGGCUAGAUUGGGGUUUUAAAAAAAAAAAAAUCAGUUUUGUUGCUUAGUAAAAAUUCUAAGGAGAAGACAAGGAGAUAGAGGUGGAGAAGCAAGAAUAAGUAUAAAGAUUUAAGACACAAAUUGGAGCCAAGUAUCCAAGGCGAAAAGAGCAACGAGGAAAAAGGGAUUCACGGAUAGUCGUCGACAGGUACAUACGACAGGUUCGCUGAUCCGCCCGCUUAGGAUCUUAUUCUGCUAUUCUGAGGCGCUCUCUUAUCCGGAGCCUAUAUUUUUGGUACA
Lycium barbarum (goji berry) is the source of this 682-nucleotide long non-coding RNA. RefSeq lists it as uncharacterized. The transcript has 3 exons. NCBI's taxonomy places the organism in Eukaryota, Viridiplantae, Streptophyta, Magnoliopsida, Solanales, Solanaceae. The record is from RefSeq and is a predicted model, not a curated record.